RNAcentral lists this ribosomal RNA (402 nucleotides) under uncultured bacterium. RNAcentral describes it as "bacterial SSU rRNA". It matches the Rfam family "Bacterial small subunit ribosomal RNA", at positions 355 to 774 of the family's 1533-position model. The record is from RNAcentral.
UGGGGAAUUUUGGGCAAUGGGCGAAAGCCUGACCCAGCAACGCCGCGUGAGGGAUGAAGUAUUUCGGUAUGUAAACCUCGAAAGAAUGGGAAGAAUAAAUGACGGUACCAUUUAUAAGCUCCGGCUAACUACGUGCCAGCAGCCGCGGUAAUACGUAGGGAGCAAGCGUUGUUCGGAUUUACUGGGUGUAAAGGGUGCGCAGGCGGAUGGGUAAGUCAGGGGUGAAAGUCUGCAGCUUAACUGUAGAAUUGCCUUUGAUACUGCUCAUCUUGAGUGUGGGAGAGGUUGAUGGAAUUCCAGGUGUAGCAGUGAAAUGCGUAGAUAUCUGGAAGAACACCAGUGGCGAAGGCGGUCAACUGGCCCAUAACUGACGCUCAUGCACGAAAGCGUGGGGAGCAAACA